This 563-nucleotide ribosomal RNA is filed under the name uncultured bacterium. RNAcentral describes it as "partial 16S ribosomal RNA". It matches the Rfam family "Bacterial small subunit ribosomal RNA", at positions 355 to 1375 of the family's 1533-position model. The record is from RNAcentral.
UGGGGAAUAUUGCACAAUGGGCGAAAGCCUGAUGCAGCAACGCCGCGUGAGUGAUGAAGGCCUUCGGGUUGUAAAGCUCUGUCUUUUGGGACGAUAAUGACGGUACCAAAGGAGGAAGCCACGGCUAACUACGUGCCAGCAGCCGCGGUAAUACGUAGGUGGCAAGCGUUGUCCGGAUUUACUGGGCGUAAAGGAUGCGUAGGCGGAUUUUUAAGUGAGAUGUGAAAACCCUAAGCUUAACUUGGGGACUGCAUUUCAUACUGGAAAUCUAGAGUGCGGGAGAGGAGAAUGGAAUUCCUAGUGUAGCGGUGAAAUGCGUAGAGAUUAGGAAGAACACCAGUGGCGAAGGCGAUUCUCUGGACCGUAACUGACGCUGAGGCAUGAAAGCGUGGGUAGCAAAACAGGAUUAGAUACCCUGGUAGUCCACGCCGUAAACGAUGAGUACUAGGUGUAGGAGGUAUCGACCCCUUCUGUGCCGCAGUUAACACAAUAAGUACUCCGCCUGGGAAGUACGAUCGCAAGAUUAAAACUUAAAUGAAUUGACGGGGUCAUAGCUGUUUCCU